This is a long non-coding RNA of Sarcophilus harrisii (Tasmanian devil), 1651 nucleotides long. NCBI's taxonomy places the organism in Eukaryota, Metazoa, Chordata, Mammalia, Dasyuromorphia, Dasyuridae. The record is from Ensembl.
CCUCCCCCAGAUGGCAGGAUGACCAGUAGAUGUUAAAUACAUUAAAAUAUAAAUUAGAUACACAAUAAGCAGACCGUUAUUUUGCUGAGGUACUGCAUUUCAAAAAUGAAAGUAUUCAUUGUAAAUGCUCCGGAUCAUACAGACUUGGAGCUACUACAAGGGGAUCUUUGAGGUAAGUUAGCUCUACCACUUCAGCACUUUUAUGGAAGCCCUAAAAGGUUAAGGGAUUUUAGCUAAGGAAGUAAAUAGAUUCAAUUCCAAGUACUUUGAUAUCAAACAUAAGUUCUUUCCCGAGCCGCAAGCUGCAGUGGCAUUUUAAUUUUCCUGCACUAAAACGAAAAAGGCUCUUCUCUUGGGGGCAAGCACAAGCAGGAAGAGGCCCGUCAGUAUUCCAAUCUGUAAAACGGGAGUACGGAUAAUCGCAUGGCUCAUCUCACUGAGAGGAAGGCUCUCACACACGCUAAACGGCCAAGGCCAGCGUUUCAGGUUCGCAAGUUCACCAAUCCAGGCGUGGAAAGGUUCUCAGAGGCUGCCUCGCUGCUCUGGCUGUACAGACUGGGGAGCUGAGCCCGGAGCGUGCCCAAGGACAAACCGGGCACUGCCGGCUCAGACUCCAGGCAGUCUCUGCCAUUCCGCAGGCCUCCCCGCUUUCUUCCCCCUUUGAAUCGCGCGCCCCGCGGCGCUCCGCAGCGCCGCUUUCUCGUUUUGGAUGAGAAGCCCGAGCCCAGAGCGGGGAAGGGCCUUCAGGAAGAGACAACUUCGAUACACUGUUCGAAAUGUGACUUGGGAGACUCUAUCGGCAGGUUGCGGCAGCAGGCAGGGCCGGCCCGGCCUCUCACUUCUAACGCCCGGCUCGUUGCCCCCCGCUCGGGAUUUUCGGUGAGGGUGCCAGACCCAUCGCGCCCAAGGACUCCAGACCCGUUCGGGAAGCGCGCCUAUCCCACGGCACUCUCUCGCUGCGCCCCUCCCCCAUUAAAAAAAAAAAAAAAAAAAACAACAAGUCGCCGCACGUGUAUCUGUAUUGUUAGGGUCCCUUAAAGGGCCAGCAGUAGCCUGCCCGCUAGGCGACUCCCGGCCGCCGGCGCCGCGAGCGCACACCCAGGGAGGACGCGCGUCCCCUCCCCCACACCAUGGGGCCCCGCGCCGCGGCGGCGGCGGCCCAUCCAUCCCUCCUUCCCCCGCCGGGCCCGCGGCGCGGACCGCGCAGCGCGGGAGGGGAGAGGGCCCCUCCCCGCCCGGCCCCGGCCCCCGGCGGCGGCCCGGGAGGCGCGCGGGCCGGGCCGGUCGGGCGCGCGCGGCAGGCGGCGGGGAGCCCGAGCCGCCGCGGCGUGCCGAGGCUUCGCGAGCUCUCGUGACGUCAGAGGGCCGCUCGCCAGCAGAACGUUCCAUUGAGGCGAGCGAGCGCGUGCGGCGGCCCGAGCACAUGGGGAAAACGGGCUGGGACGGGCUGCCUGGCAGACCGGGGCCGGGGGGCCGGGCCCCCGGGACUCGCGGACCCCGCUGCGGAAGGGAUUCUAGCCGCUGUGUGACCUGUGGAUCCGGGGUCGGACUCGCCCUCCACAGUUCUGGAAUAGCGCUGCCUGGUUCACUUGUACCAAGUGACUUCAGGCCGGGGACCUCUUCUCUUCUCUUCCCCUCCCCCUCCCCUUAA